Molecule: ribosomal RNA, 293 nt
Filed under: uncultured microorganism
Description: partial 16S ribosomal RNA
Rfam family: Bacterial small subunit ribosomal RNA
Source: RNAcentral
GUGCCAGCAGCCGCGGUAACUACGUAGGUGGCAAGCGUUGUCCGGAAUUACUGGGCGUAAAGCGCUCGCAGGCGGUUCUUUAAGUCUGAUGUGAAAUCUUACGGCUCAACCGUAAACGUGCAUUGGAAACUGGGGAACUUGAGUGCAGAAGAGGAGAGUGGAAUUCCACGUGUAGCGGUGAAAUGCGUAGAGAUGUGGAGGAACACCAGUGGCGAAGGCGACUCUCUGGUCUGUAACUGACGCUGAGGAGCGAAAGCGUGGGGAGCGAACAGGAUUAGAUACCCUGGUAGUCC